This 96-nucleotide Y RNA is filed under the name Piliocolobus tephrosceles (Ugandan red Colobus). RNAcentral's name for it is "Y RNA (ENSPTEG00000020863.1)". It matches the Rfam family "Y RNA". From Rfam's summary of the family: Y RNAs are components of the Ro ribonucleoprotein particle (Ro RNP), in association with Ro60 and La proteins. The Y RNAs and Ro60 and La proteins are well conserved, but the function of the Ro RNP is not known. In humans the RNA component can be one of four small RNAs -- hY1, hY3, hY4 and hY5. The record is from Rfam by way of RNAcentral. Lineage: Eukaryota; Metazoa; Chordata; Mammalia; Primates; Cercopithecidae.
GGCUGGUUCAGUGGUAGUGGGUUAUCAGAACUUAUUAACAUUAGUGUCACUAAAGUUGGUAUACAACCCCCAACUGCUAAAUUUGACUGGCUUAAA